GAUGAACGCUGGCGGCGUGCCUAAUACAUGCCAGUCGAGCGAACAGACGAGGAGCUUGCUCCUCUGACGUUAGCGGCGGACGGGUGAGUAACACGUGGAUAACCUACCUAUAAGACUGGGAUAACUUCGGGAAACCGGAGCUAAUACCGGAUAAUAUAUUGAACCGCAUGGUUCAAUAGUGAAAGACGGUUUUGCUGUCACUUAUAGAUGGAUCCGCGCCGCAUUAGCUAGUUGGUAAGGUAACGGCUUACCAAGGCGACGAUGCGUAGCCGACCUGAGAGGGUGAUCGGCCACACUGGAACUGAGACACGGUCCAGACUCCUACGGGAGGCAGCAGUAGGGAAUCUUCCGCAAUGGGCGAAAGCCUGACGGAGCAACGCUGCGUGAGUGAUGAAGGUCUUCGGAUCGUAAAACUCUGUUAUUAGGGAAGAACAAAUGUGUAAGUAACUAUGCACGUCUUGACGGUACCUAAUCAGAAAGCCACGGCUAACUACGUG
Molecule: ribosomal RNA, 497 nt
Filed under: uncultured bacterium
Lineage: Bacteria
Description: partial 16S ribosomal RNA
Rfam family: Bacterial small subunit ribosomal RNA
Source: RNAcentral